Molecule: ribosomal RNA, 468 nt
Filed under: uncultured bacterium
Lineage: Bacteria
Description: bacterial SSU rRNA
Rfam family: Bacterial small subunit ribosomal RNA
Source: RNAcentral
CUACGCACUCCUACGGGAGGCAGCAGUGGGAAUAUUGCACAAUGGGCGCAAGCCUGAUGCAGCCAUGCCGCGUGUAUGAAGAAGGCCUUCGGGUUGUAAAGUACUUUCAGCAGUGAGGAAGGUGGGUAUGUUAAUAACAUACUCAUUUGACGUUAGCUGCAGAAGAAGCACCGGCUAACUCCGUGCCAGCAGCCGCGGUAAUACGGAGGUGCGAGCGUUAAUCGGAAUUACUGGGCGUAAAGCGCAUGCAGGUGGUUUGUUAAGUCAGAUGUGAAAGCCCGGGGCUCAACCUCGGAAUUGCAUUUGAAACUGGCAAACUAGAGUACUGUAGAGGGGGUAGAAUUUCAGGUGUAGCGGUGAAAUGCGUAGAGAUCUGAAGGAAUACCGGUGGCGAAGGCGGCCCCCUGGACAGAUACUGACACUCAGAUGCGAAAGCGUGGGGAGCAAACAGGAUUAGAUAACCGGUAG